UUUUUUUCUUAGCCACAAAGAUCAGUCCUUUCAACUAGUCAUGUGAAGCGUACGAUGAUCCGUUUACAGGGAGAAUCUAAACAGAGGACUCUAUGGUGAUCAAAGGGAGAUGUCUGGGUUCGUGGGUGUUGUCGUUUCGGAUCCAUGGUUACAGAGUCAGUUCACACGAGUCAAGCUUCGUACUCUCAAUUCCGAGUUUGUAUCGUUGAAGAAUUCAAGUGGAAACAUAACCAUAGAAGAUCUCCCUUCUCUAUUGUCAAAGUUAAAGUCAAUUAGUGCAACGUUUAAGGAGGACGAAAUCAGACAGAUACUGCAAGAACAUGCUUCUGAUAAUACAAGCAGUGAUGUGGGUUUUGAAGAGUUUCUCAAGGUAAUAUGGAGUUUCUUGGUGAACCAAGUUUCACAUUGACUAUGAAUGUUGUUAAUAUUGAGACACAGGACCUGGCUGAAGGACGGGAGGAGAUGCUUCUCACGAAAACAAGCCUUCUAAUGGGAAAAUAUCAGGUGAUUCCGCUACUCCAAAGCCGUUUGGUCUUAACACAGAUUGGAGAGAGUUCAGAGCAAACUUGUUUAUGAAAGAGCAGGUGAUAUCUUGAUACUUGAGGUUUGGCAUCAUCAACACAUUCUUGGGAAGUUAUGUUUAUGUAUGAGUCAAAUGUUAAUGGGAUUUUUGUGAUAAUUAAAAGAUGAAUUUUUGCAUUGGACCACAUAAAUGUUUGGAUUUCUUAAUGUUAUCUCUUAACUCACAUUUACUA
Molecule: RNA transcript, 755 nt
Organism: Brassica oleracea var. oleracea
Lineage: Eukaryota; Viridiplantae; Streptophyta; Magnoliopsida; Brassicales; Brassicaceae
Gene name: fimbrin-1-like
Exons: 3
Source: RefSeq, a predicted model, not a curated record